UCUACAUAUUGCAGAAGGGUCACCUGCGGG
RNAcentral lists this non-coding RNA (30 nucleotides) under Rattus norvegicus (Norway rat). The record is from RNAcentral. Lineage: Eukaryota; Metazoa; Chordata; Mammalia; Rodentia; Muridae.